Haliotis rubra (blacklip abalone) is the source of this 207-nucleotide long non-coding RNA. RefSeq lists it as uncharacterized. The transcript is spliced from 3 exons. The record is from RefSeq and is a predicted model, not a curated record. Lineage: Eukaryota; Metazoa; Mollusca; Gastropoda; Lepetellida; Haliotidae.
AUUGUAUUACUACCUUUGCUGGCUCCACCUUCUCACAGUAGCCUAUCAGAUAAGCCGUUACAACUGAGCUUGCCAGUGUCAACAAAGAUAGCCAGGCAGGUUUGCUCACUAUGCGACUCAGAUUUAGGAAAAAAAUCAUACAGACAAAUUGACAGGUCUGAAACCUUAAAAAAAUAUAUUUCAAGAACAUCUUCUACCUCUUUCAGG